Molecule: ribosomal RNA, 254 nt
Filed under: uncultured bacterium
Lineage: Bacteria
Description: partial 16S ribosomal RNA
Rfam family: Bacterial small subunit ribosomal RNA
Source: RNAcentral
UACGGGGGGAGCAAGCGUUGUUCGGAUUUACUGGGCGUAAAGGGCGCGUAGGCGGUCGUGACAAGUCACUUGUGAAAUCUCCGGGCUUAACUCGGAACGGUCAAGUGAUACUGUCGGACUAGAGUGAUGUAGGGGAGACUGGAAUUCCUGGUGUAGCGGUGAAAUGCGCAGAUAUCAGGAGGAACACCGAUGGCGAAGGCAGGUCUCUGGGCAUUAACUGACGCUGAGGAGCGAAAGCAUGGGGAGCGAACAGG